UUUGAGAGAAUCUAUACUUUUAACAAGUAUGAAUUGGUACCAAAUGCUCUUUAAAAAGUUAUGAUUCUCUUUAUUUUUAUUCUCAAUACUUUUUAUAUAGUUUUAAAAAUAUAUACAUAAUACCAUAAUAUGUAUUAAAUUAAAUUUUUCUAACAUACAAUUUAUAAUAAGCAGAGAUUUAUGAUUGAUAUUAGCUAUAAUUAGCUUUAACAUUACACAAGACAACCAAACCCAAAGCAACUAUAGCCACUUUAUUUUAUUUUAAAAAAGCAAACAUAUAUGAUAUGCUUUUUCUACAUUAUAUCAUUACAUAUAUUGCCUCCAAUAUCUCUGCUUCAACCUUUCAUGUGUUGCACUUCAUUUGCAGUUGCAAGGGUCACAAGUGCAGCUAUCACCACACUUGCAGCCACCAUCCUCAGCUGCAACACUCAUUUCAGCACCAUCAAACUGGAUCUUCGCCGGACCGACGCCAAGAAUCACGGUUUCUGUGGUUUCCAUUUCGGAGUAGCUCAAUCCACUAGACCUCUUGUUGCAUCUGCACAGCAAUAAAAAUCAAAAUAAUCCAAUAAAAUAUUAACAAAUUUUUUGCAAGAUUGAUUCUUAAGAAAAAAAAUAAAUACCAACAGAUUAAUAACCAUAUAGAAAAAAAUAAUUAUAUAGAUUUUAAUGUAAGGAAGAGUUAAGGUGGUGGAUCCUUACUUGCAGCUAUCACCACAGUUGCAACUGCUUCCACAACCACAGCUAGACAUAUUUUCAGAAACUAAGAUUUUUUUUGCAAACAACAAUUGAUAUUAAUUGCUUGGUUAGUGUUAUCUUCUAUAAAAGUGGUGUCUUUUAAUGAUGCUGUGUGACUCCAAUUUAUAAGGUGGAAGAGAAUAAUCAGUGAAAUCUUGACCGUCCACGUGUUGUAAUCUUGUGUUGUAUGGGUCCACAAGCCUACGCUUGGAUCAAUUCCUAGUAGACAUCGUUUUCAUUGCACGUCUUAUUGUGGUGUUGGCGAUAAAAUUGUUGCAUGCUUGCUGAUUGGUUUUCACAAAACAUGAUAUUUUAUUGAUUUUAUAAAUUUACUUUUAUUAACAAAUCAUAUUUGAAUAUAAAAGUCACCGCAACGUUUUUGCUUUUUGUACUUUUGGAGAAACAAUUGUUUGAUGAGAAAUAGAAUUUUGAAGCGGUAGGAUAAGUUUUCGGUACGAUAGAGAGAAGUUAAUAGUGAAAAAGUUAAAAAUAUAUAAUGAGGAAGAAUGAAUUUGAUUAUUUAAAAAUGACAUUUUUUUUCUUUUAUGGUUGAGGUGGUUAAAACCGCAAGCGAGGAGUGUGGCGUGAAUUGUCAUCACUGGUUCGAUUGAUCUGGACUGUUGAUAAUGUUUUAGAGGUGAAAUUGUCUAUUCUCAACGAGGAUGGAGGAACACUUGUUUCUCGCAUGCGCUCCUUUGCUUAGGUUUCGUCCAUUGCCUUGUGAGCGGCCACAAAUUGUUGUCCCCAAACCCUUGCUAUUGCUUUGUAAGAUACGUGUUUGCUAUAUACGUUCUAGACCGAUUGAUUGGCAUGAGGAGAUGAAGAGCUCUGAUGGGACAUCACUAUUAUUGGUAACAUACACAUUAAGUAUCUUUCUAGUAAUAAAUCUGAUGUGUGUUCCUAUGCUAGUUCCUAAUGAUUCUUCGUCUUCCUUAGAGAACUUAAGUACUUUGCAUAAUCUUUGAUGAAAUAUCGAUCGUCGAUGGUGCGUAGUAGAUCAUAUGAUCUCUAGUGGUAAAGGCACAUAUAAAAGAUCUCUAAAGCAUCAUUUUUCUAUUUAUUGUCAUCUGCAACCUGUGAAAGAUCUUAUUCUUGUCUUGCCAACUUCGUUCUUUAUCGAUAACUCUUUAAUUCUAGUUUCUUGCCUAAGCUCACAUGCAAUUUUCGUUUGGUGGCCUUUGAUACGCACACCAACCUACUUGUUUUAAGGUAAAGCCAAUGACUUAUUCUUGCUUUUGCCUUUUUAUAGUAUUUUUUGGACAAUGAGUUUUUUAGAAUGGACAUUCCAUCUUACAUAUUUUGCAAGGAAAUGAGGAUAUUUAUGUUGGACAAGCAUUAACUACCAUACAACGUAAUAUACCUACUAAGACUUCUGAGUCUCAUUUCCCUUGAAGGAGGAACACACAUACAUGUACUUUUUAACUAGUACAAUGACGUCCAUCGUGGGUCUUUGUAAAACUAUCAUAUGCCACACCGUGUUCAUCACCAUCACCCUGCAUGUUGUUACCCUUCACUCAUACACCUAGCCAUUUACAUCCAUGGCAAACAGGAGAGCUUCAUCCCCACACCAGAAGAUACCAGUAGUAUUGGUGAUGUCGAUGCUCUAGCAGAGAUGCGUGCCUCCAUGGAUGAGUUACGUCGCUAUAACCACACGCUGGAGGAUGAUGUCCACAAUAUCAAACAACGCCAAUAGGAUUCCAAUCCCUAGAGGAGAUGUAAAUGUUAGACCCCUAGCCGCUCUCAGAUGAGAUAUGGGGGAUAUAUGCCCCGAGGGUUUCAAACAUCCAUACUUGGCCAAUUUUGAUGGGCGCAAAGAUCCCUACGAGCAUGUCGCCUCCAUCAAUACAAAGAUGGCCAUUAUAGGAGUACCUGCCUCCCUGAAGUACAAGCUGCUAUCUAGCAUUUUUAGGGACGUCGCCCUUCGAUGGUAUAUGGGUUUAUCCGUGCCUCCAUCAACAACUAUCAUAAACUGGUAAAGAAGUUAGUACACCAAUUCCUCGCCACAGAAAGAUGUCCACCACACGCCUAUUUAACAUAUGUCAGGGUCCAUCAAAGUCUCUGAGGGGCUACUUCUACUGCUUUAACGAGGCCACCAUCAAGGUCGUCCCACCUAACCAAAAAUGUUUAUGGUGGCAUUCCAAAAUAGAGUUGAGGCAUAACAAUUUAACGAGUCCCUCCCCCAUAAGCCAACAUUUUAGUUGGCAGAAGUGGUCACUAGAGUAGAGUCCUACAUAAAGGGUGAUGAGAAUAACAAUGAAAAAAAGGCGCACGAUGUCAAAGAGCACGUUCCCAAGGUCGGUGGCUCACAUCACCAGAGGAAGAGAAAUUAUACCUCAACCAUAAGCCAACAUUUUAGUUGGCAGAAGUGGUCACUAGAGUAGAGUCCUACAUAAAGGGUGAUGAGAAUAACAAUGAAAAAAAGGCGCACGAUGUCAAAGAGCACGUUCCCAAGGUCGGUGGCCCACAUCACCAGAGAAAGAGCAACUAUACCUCACCCAAAAAGGACCAUACUACAUUCAAAAGGGUAGGUAAGGUGGCAGAGAACUUCAAACCCUUGAACACUCACCACGAGCUAAUCUGGUACGAGGUUCUCCACCUUCACAACAUCCCUCUGGCGCCUACUCCUAAGACAAAUGUGAUGGGUUCUGAAUUGUUUAGGUGGUGCAAGUUCUAUAUUAUCAAGGGACACCACACCGAAGAUUUCUACUAACUCAAAUAGGAAAUCACUAGAUUAAUACAUGAGGGAAACCUCAAGAAAUAUGUGAGGCGCAACUCCCCCCAUUCGGAAAAUAAGUAUAACCCGCGAAGGCGAGACGAUGUUGGAAGCCCUAGACCCAAAAAAUCCCAAGAUGAUCUUUAAGAAGUAGGUAGUAAAAAUGCGUACCACACACUUAACACCGUAGCUUAAGGAUUAGCCAGGGCAGGGAAACCAACUCCGCCCAAAGCAGGUAUGCUCGCCAGAUCCUGAGUAUGGAAAACCUCCUUAAAGUUAAGACCGAAAGCAAGCGCCAAAUUCACAAGCCAUGAUCGCCUUCUCGGGGAAAGAUGCAGUUGUCAUCCAUCCUCUUAACUAUGACCCCGUGGUCAUUACCGUUAAGUGCGAAAGUUAGGGAAUUAAAAGAGAUAACAUGUACGUGUACGUGUAAAUGGGCAUAUCACCUUGAGGAUCACUUUUAGAUAGCAGGAAAAAGAGAUAAAAGUCAAAUAUCUGGUUAGUGAUGCCCCUUCUUCGUAUAAUAUGAUUAUAGGGCGACCGACCUUUAACCUGCUGGGCGACACCUUGUGAAAUAUGUAUUUGUGCAUGUCUCGAAUAGUUCUUUAUAGAAAAUAUUUGUUUGUUGGUUGAUUUUAGAGAAUAAUGUUUAGGUCGCAUUCAAGCGGUUUAACAUCUACUUGUAUGCUCGCACUAUGGAGGCUGGAUCAUCUGUUUAUAAUUCGUGUAGCAAUGGAUAAAACACUAUUCUUUUAUGAAAAAGUUUAUUUUGAUUGCAUCAGAGUAAAAAGUUAGUUUGGUGAGCUGAGAUUGAUUUUAGGUGGAAGACGAGUAACUGGUUCCAGCAAAGUGUACACUAAGCCUCCGAUACUCGAGAAACAAACAAAAAUACAUUCACCUGCUCCCUUUCUAAUCCAAGUUAAUUUAUAUAUAUUUUUUUAAGUUAACUAAUUACGUUCAUUAUAAUUGAUUCAGUUUUGAAAAUGGAUUUGAUGUAGGUUAACUUGUAAACAUGAUGAUUUAAUUGAAAAUAAUUUGAUUUUUCUUAUUUAUUGUGACAACUAUUCAAUUUGAUUUUUUAUGGAGAAUAAAAAUAGAUUUUUGAUUAUUAGCAUUCACAAUGUUCAUAAAAAUCCUGAAAUCAUCAAUUUAAUUAAUUAUAAAAAAAACAAAUAGCAAAAAUUUAAAACAAGAAAAGGGUGCAAACAAAGGUAGUAAAUUAAAACAAUGGUAUUGAAGUCAAAAAAUACAAAAAAAAGGGAAAGAAAUAAAGGGGGCGUGUGGUAAAAGAGGAGAAUGCCUAAUUGAGAGGGGCCCAAAGCUGGUCAAUAGGGGAAAGGGAGUUGACUUCGUGUGGGCCGCCUGAUUGCAUCAAGCGACCAUGAUGCGUUGUGCAUGAUAAGGCUAGUGAAUGGGGUAGUGUAGGAUCAUGGGAAAGAGAAAAGGAGGGAUCACGCCAUGUGGCGCAUUAUCUGCCACAUAAACUAGUCAAUAGUCAACUACAACAAACGGCCCAGAUUAAUUAUGAAUUUAAGCUUCUUCUUCCCCACUCAUGCAAGGCCAAUUGCACAAUAACAACAUCAAUGACUACUUUUUCUUUGAAAAUCACCUAAUAUGCAUAUAAUUUAACAAAUAAAUAUGCAAAAUUCAUCUAUGAAUCGUCAUGAACAUGAAUCCAUGAUCAAAGUGUAUUAAUUAACAACAAAAAAUGGUGAGAAUUAGGAUUUAAAGUAAACCUGAAUUUGAUUGAGUGGCUCGAUCCGGCCAUAACUUGAUGUUUUGAAUCACUUUGCAUUUUUUCUUCAAACGGUUGAUUUUUUAAUUUUCCGGGUUUUUGUUCUUGAAUGUUCAUGAACACUCAUGAACAUCAAUAACACUAAGAACACCAAUUUUUCAGAAAUUCAUAUUUCAAUUUAUUUUGAACAAAUGAUUAAAGGAUAUAAAACAUAGUAAGUGUAGAAACAAUUUUAUGUAAAAAAAAUCACACAAAAUACAAUGGUCAAGCCUUACCUAAGCGAAAAAACCUCAAGAAUGCGAUGAACACUGAUGAGCAACCCAAAUUCCGAUCAAGCUCCAAUAUUGCUCCAUCUAAACUCGUUUUUCAUGUCUCUUUGUAGAUCUAAACACCUAUUUAUCUUCUAUACCUCAUUCCAUCAUAAUUUCACAAUUUCUACAUUUUUUUUCAAAAUCGAGUUCAAAAUGGAUUUGCGCGAAUUUGAGUUUUGGUGUAGUUGUGUGUAGUUUUUUUUUGUCUAUACUAUGUAAUUGGACUCAUAUUUAUAAUAAUUUUCAUGUUAACAUAAAAGGAAAACAAGUCAUAGUGACAAAUCGCGACCAAUUAAAAACAAGCAUGACAAAUUGCGACCAAUUAGAAACAAGUAUGACACAUUGCAACCCUUUGAACAUGUAUGAUCAAAGAUCGUCGUCAACCUGAAAGAUCGGUGCUUAGAUCAAAGAUAAAAAUAUCUUCGUCAACCCGAAGGUCGAUGCUUACAUCAAGGAUAAAAAGAUCGUUGUCAACUCGAAGGUUGAUGCUUAGAUCAAGGAUAAAAAUAUCGUUGUUAACCCGAAGGUCGAUGCUUAGAUCAAGGAUAAAAAGAUCGACGUCAACCCGAAAGUCGAUGCUUAGAUCAAGGAUAAAAAGGUUGUUGUCAACCCAGAGGUUGAUGCUUAUAUCAAAGUUAAAAAGAUCAUCGUCAACCCGAAAGUUGAUGCUUAGAUCAAACAUGAAAAGAUCAUCGUUAACUUAGAAGCUUGAUGCUAAAAUCGUGGGAUAGGUCGUCGCCAACUCAAGGGUCAGCGCUUGGACCUACAAAUGAGAAAAGAUCACCGUCAACCCAAAGGUCGAUGCUUAGAUCAAAUAGGAAAGGAUCAUCGUUAAUAUGAAGAUUAAUACUUAGAUCAACAUAGGACAAGUUUGUCAUCAACCCGAAGCUCGACGUUUAGAUCACGGUAAAGUGAUCAUCGUCAAUCCGAAGAUUGAUGCUUAGAUCAAGGUGAGAUAAAUCAUCACCAACCAAAGGGUCAGUGCUUAGAUCGCACAUGAUAAGAUCAUCAUUAACAUGGAGGUUGAUGAUGCCUUAGAUCAUUACAGGACAAGAUCGUCGUCAACCCGAAAGUCAAUGCUUAGAUGAAGACAAACUGAUCAUCGUCAACCCAAAGGUCGAUGCUUAGAUCAAGGAUAAGAUCUAAGAAUGAUGAUUAGAUUAACAGAUAGAUCAUGGCCAACCCAAAGGUUAAUCCUUAGAUCAAACAAGAAAAUAUCUUCGUCAACUUGAGAGACCACACAAAUUCAAAUCAGUCGGAAAUUCAAGUGGAAGCAGUUGAGAAAGUUACGAUUGGUACAAGCACGAAAGAAAGUUUUUCUGUCAACUAGUGCAAUAUUGAAACCACACCACCAAAACUAGAUAAUAUUGAGAGACUAUCAAUUAUAUUCGAAAGUAUUCCAAACCCGUUCCUGGAUAUUACAUUAAGUCAUGAUCCAAGUCAAUUAUUUGUACUUUCUAAGGAUUCAAAUAAUGAAGAUUUGAAGGGACAUGAGUACCUAGACAAUUCCAUAUUACAAAUUUGGUGUUCGUAAGUAUAGCUUUUAUGUUGAUUUUUAUUUAUAUUCAUAAGUUCUUGUACAUUAACAUAAAGAUUUGACUCUUGCAGGUUCAUGCAUGAGUUCUGUGUUGAAAGUAAUACAAAUAAGUAGUAUUUCUUAGAUCCAUCGCGGCUUGGUCUUACUCACGGUUCGACAGGAAACAAUAUCUUUGUUUACAUACAAGAAAAGUUGAAAGAGAACAAAGAGUAUUAUUUGGUCCGUUUUUACUGUGAGUAAGUAUAUAUUAAUUUGUAUUUUCCUUUAUAAAUCAAAUUUAUACAUAUUAUUAAUUAUUCUGAAUUUUUAUGCAUUGAACAUUGACAACUAAUUGUUAUAUGUCCGAGGAAAAAUGUUAUAAUUGUGUUUUGCUCGUUGCGCUUUGUGCUGCCUAAAGUUGUGGUUAACACUUUGAAUGCGUAAGUGGUAUUAUUCUUAAUAUUCAAAUUUUAAUUUUAGAUUUGAAUAGUUUCUAUUCAUUUUUAAUUUUAACCAACAUGUGUAGAAUGAUUGAAGAACAUAAUGCAAUCAAACAAAAUUUACUUGGUUAAAAGCCAAACUAUGGAUAUCCAAAAGUAAGUAUACUACUUGUGCUUUUUGACUGUAUUAUUUGUGUGUAUUAGUGGUAUAAAUAUAUGAAAUUAUUCGUAGUGACGAAAACAACCCAACAACUAUUCUUGGGGAUACUAUGUUAUAAGAUAUAGACAUUACAAAUGGAUGGAUGAAGCACCAGGUAUACAUAUAUAUACACAUAUUUAUAUUUCUUAAGUUAAUGUUGUUGUUGUUAGCUUAUCGUAGUUUAAAGUUUGUUUUAAUUAUGAGUUUAAUGACAGAACACCAUACUCAAAAGAAGAUAUAAAUGACAUCCGAUCACAUUGGAUCAUUGCCUUCUAUUCAUUUUUUUUUGAAUCUUGACAACAAUAAUUUUUCUUGGUUGUUAUAAUAUUAAUUUGUAUAUGUACAUAGGUUUUGUCAUUUUUAUAUGCAAAUAUGUAAAUGUGUGUAUUUUGUAUUGAUGAGAAUAAUGUAAAUGUGUACAUUUGGUUUUGAAAGCAAUGAUAAUUUAUUAUUAUGUAUUUAAAAGAUUUAAAAUGAUAUGAUAUAUUUCAAUUUUGUCAUAUAUUUUGUAAUUUCUAUAUAAGAAAUGAUACAGGUCAGUGAAAAUAAGAUUUACAACAAUGUAAAUUUGAUAUUAUGUGUUUACAGGCUAAUGAAAAUAAGAUUUAUAAUGAUAUGAUACAAACUAGUGAAAAUAAAAUUUAUAAUGAUAUGAUACAAGCCAGUGAAAAUGAGAUUUAAAACAAAUUAUAUAUGAAAAUAAAUAAGAUUUAACCCCUCGAUUAUCACCUAAAAUCAAAGUAAAAGUAUACCUUAUUACCUCAAUUUUAAAUAAAACCGAGAGGUAUAUGACACACGCAACAAAAUUUGGAAAAUAAAAAUAUGUUAUUGCUAGGGAUCGAACCAAUGACCAUUUACUUUCUAAAAUCGAGGAAAAAAUGGCAAGUUAUCAUGUCACCCUUCGUUACCUCGUAUGUGUAAUCGAGAUAAAAGUCAUUUCGCGACAGAGAUAAGAUGUGUUAUUUAUAAUAGUGUUAUCAAUUGGAUAUGGCAAGAUCACGGGAAAGAGAAAAGGGGGACAACUACAUGUGACACGAGAUCUGACACAGAAACUAGUCAACAAACAACUGCAACGAAUGGUCCUGAUUACUUUUGGAUUUAAGCUUCUUUUUCCCUACUCAUGCAAGACCAAUUGCACAACAACAACAAUGAUUAUUUUUUCUUGGAAAAUCACCAAAUAUGCAUGGAAUUGACAAAUAAAUAUGCAAAAUUCAUCUACGAAUCAUCACGAACAUGAAUCUAUGAUCAAAGUGUAUCAAUUAACAAUAAAAAAUGACAAAAAUUAGAAUUUAAAAUGAAUUCAAAUUUGACUUUGAGGGACUCAAUCCGGCCAUAACUUAGUGUUUUAGACCAAAAAUAAUAAUUAAUUUAAAAAUAUAUACAUAAUACCAUAAUGUAUAAGAUUUGUCUAAACAUACCAUUUAUAAUAAGCAGAGAUUUAUGAUUGAUAUUAGCUAUAAUUAGCUUUAACAUUACACAAGACAACCAAACACAAAGCAACUAUAGCCACUUUAUUUUAUUUUAAAAAAGCAAACAUAUAUGAUAUGCUUUUUCUACAUCAUAUCAUUACAUAUAUUGCCUCCAAUAUCUCUGCUUCAAACUUUCAUAUUCAUUUGCAGUUGCAAGGGUCACAAGUGCAGCUAUCUCCACACUUGCAGCCACCAUCCUCAGCUGCAACACUCAUUUCAGCACCAUCAAACUGGAUCUUCGCCGGACCGACGCCAAGAAUCACGGUCUCUGUGGUUUCCAUUUCGGAGUAGCUCAAUCCACUAGACCUCUUGCUGCAUCUGCACAGCAAUAAAAAUCAAUUAUACAUAUUAAUAUAUGUUUUUAAUUUAUGGACGGCUAAAGGGAAACCUUAUCUUAUUUUAAUACCAUCAAAAAGCUUUUUAAGAUAUUCAAGUGACAAUUGAUUCAAUAUUGGCCAUCAAUUCAUAGUCUUUAGACAGUUAAAAUCUGAAAGAGAAAAAUCUAUGGAGAGAAUUAAAGACAAAAACUUUUGUUUUCUUCUUUUGAGGCAGCUAAUAAAAGACAUAACUCUUUACAAAGUAUCUACUUUUCUUGAGUAGUGAUAAAUCUUUUCAAAAUAUUCUAUAUUUUUGACAAAUAACCAAUAAGAUUGUUGGGUUUAUAUUUUAAUUUAAAACUUCUUAAUUUUAAAAAGUAAAAAUUUAUUUUAGAUUUAAAUUGUCUAAUCCCAAUAAUCAAAUUUCUUAAAACAUUUCAUGUCAAUAAAUCUGAUUUUUAAAUUUUUAAAUGAAUUUAUUUUAAAUUUAAAUUGUUUAAUAAAUUUAAAAAAUCUGAAUUAUAAAAAUCAGGUUAAUCAAUUAUUCAGUAAAUAUGAACUUUAUUUUAAUUUUUGUUUAGAAUAAUAAUAAGAAUGAGGAUAGUCAAAAGUAACCAUAAAAAAUGGAAGUAUCUAAUUUCAUAAAACCCAACCAAAAAGUACUUAAAAAAUACAAUAUUAUAUUAACAAAUAUAUGUAAGAUUCAUUCAUAAGAUAAACAAUAAACUCGAAAGAAUUAAGGUGGUGAAUCCUUACUUGCAGCUAUCACCACAGUUGCAACUGCUUCCACAACCACAGCUAGACAUAUUUUCAGAAACUAAGAUUUUUAAUGGUGCUGUUAUCUUCACUACAAUUGAUGUCUUUUAAUGGUGCUGCGUGCCCUCAAUUUAUAAGGUGGGAGAGAAUAAUUUGUGAAAUCUUGACCGUCCACGUGUUGUAAUCUUGUGUUACUUGGGCCCACAAGGCUACCCUUGGAUUAUUUCCACGUAGACAUCGUUUUCAUUGCACGUCUUAUUGUGGGGUUGGCGAUUAAAUUGUUGCAUGCUUUGCUUCAAGUCAAAUGUGAUUAGUGUCUUAAUUGGUUUGCACAAAAAUUGAUUUUGAAUUUAUUUUAAGAAAUUUAUUGCACUGAAAUAUUAAGUUUAAAGGUGGGUUAGAAUUCGUGGUUUCAAGGAAAGACUAUUUUAGAGAUAAAGUUAAGGCCUCUUUUGUUUUGGUUUCUUUAAAUGAUUUUUUUAAUGUUAUAUAAUUUUGAUAACAAAAAUUUAUAAAAAAUGUAUGAUGUUAUUGUCAUAUUGUAUAAAAUUAAGAGCUUUUUUUUGAAAUUGUAUAAUGUACUAAAUUCUAAAAAGAUUUAUCUAAGAUAUACAAUAUACACAUUGUAUUUUUUUUCCAAUUCUCUUUGUCUCCUCCAUUUAUCAUCUCAUUUGUUUUUAUCAUCAUCACAAUAAUCACUUUCUUUUAUUUAUUGUGCUUUUGAUAAUUAUUUUUUAAAAUUUUACUUUACUUUUAUUAGUAACAUGUGGUUAUAUUUUCGUGACAAGUGUGAAUGAAAUUGAUAUCAAUAGAUUUGCAACACUCGCACAUAAUCAUCCACAUACAAUGGACAAAAGUGGUAUCGUGGUAUUAAAUUGACGGAAUAGCUUUUUUAAGGAUAGAUGGAGAUAAAUACUAAAUAUGGUUGUUUUGUUUGUUGCUUAUGUAUUGUGUCAUUACAUCAUAUUUGUACAAGGGCAUGCAUGGUAGCAACAACUUCUGAUGAAUUUUUUUAUAAAAAAAAAUUAGCAACCGCAAGUGCUUUUGUAUUUUUUUUGAUAUUGAUGCAAAAUAUAUAUGAAAAAAAAUAAUGAAAUACUAGUGUCAUAGUUUUGAUCAAAAUGUGUAAAUUUUUUUUUUAAAAUUGAUCUCUGUGGAUCUCCACGGGGAUCUGUGGGGAUGAAGAUGCAAAAAAAUAUUCUCCUAUGACGGGGAUCGAGGACGAGAAUGGAGAAUAAAUUGGGAGGCGGGUGGGGAGAUGGAAAUCAUCCUCCAAACAUUCUCUACCCGUUGACAUUCCUAAUUAAAAUUUUCCAAGGUCGAAUUCAAGACCCCGUACCUUUAUGGUUGUGCGAAUGAAAUUUUAAUAAUUAUUAUGUUUAAGAUAUUAAACUUGUAUCAAUGAAUUUUUUAAAUAAUUACUCAUUCCGUUCCUUUUUAAGUGUCACUUGAAAAAAAAAUUGUUCCAUUUUAAAUGUCACUUACAAAGUUCAAGGUAGUAUUAACUGUAUUUUUGUCAAAAUUACUCCUACGUAAUUAUUACAGAGAGAAAAAGUAAAAUGAAUGUAAUAAAUAAUUAAGGGUAUUAUAGGUAAAAGAAUAAUUAUUGUUUGAAAAAUAUCAAUAAUGAUUAACUUUCUUGAUAUGUGUAAAAAGUUAAAAAAUGACACUUAAAAAGAAACAGAGAGAGUAUUGUUAAUUUGUCUACAAAUAAAAUAAAAUAAAAUUCAAACAUACCUCCAUCAAUUUAAAUGCUUUUAUUUUGGAUUAAAAACAAGCAAUGUUCAUUCAUUUAAAUUGAUCGAAUAUACUUAAUAAAAAUAAUACAAAUUCUAUUAAAAACGAAAAGAUUAAAAGUGCGAACAAACUCACAUAAUCUAAGUUAAUAGCAUAAAAUAACAAAUUGUGUACAUACAUGACUCGUGUUCUACAAUGUUGAAGAUGGAGGGAUAUUGCUACAAAAUACGUUGCGAAAAACAAUUUUUUUAAGUCGAUCCUUACGAAAGAACUUGAUCAAUAAUAAGAUGAUUACCUCUUGUGGUGAUUUUCUAUUGAUGCAAAAUAUAAAGAGAGAUCUUGAGCAUUGGACUAACGACAACACCUCUAUUCAGUCCACAAAAUAUAAUGUUUUCAAUCUCUGUGCUAGCUGAUCUGAAUGAAGAGAGAGAGAGAGAGAGAGAGAGAGAGAGAGAGAGAGAGAGGAGAGAGAGAGAGAGAGAGAGGAAGAGAGAGUCCAAGAUUAGAGAGAGAGAGAGAGAGAGAGAGAGAGAGAGUCCAAGAUUCUUAAGUGUUAGAUUUUUACAAAUUAAAUUUUGUCAAGCAUGAAUACUUCAACACAAAUGUUCUAUUCAUAGAACCGCUUGUGUGGACUGCAAGCUUAACAAGUCCACUUAAGCAUACCGUACCUUAUAAUGUACCGUAUUUCACAUAGUACCUUAAGAUGUUAUAUAUUCCAUUUAAAUACAUCAUAUAUUACAAUGUUAUGUAUUUUACUUAAGCAUAACAUAGCUUACGAUGUUCCGUGUUCUACUUAAAUAUACCAUACCUUAGGAUGUUUUGUAUUUCACUUAAGCAUAGUGUACCUUACAAUGUUCCACAUUUCUCUAAUUAACACUUGUGAAUUAUAAGACAACAAAAUCAAAUAGGAUUCACUUAUUUAUUUUAUCUCUCAUAAUCUGUUCUUAUGCGAGUGACCCUAUAUGUCUCGUAACAUUAAUAGUUAUAUUAAAUCACACAUUUAAUAUAAUAAAUAACGAGCAAUAUUUAGAUACACACCACUACUACCAAAAUAACAAAUAAUGUCAUGUGAUAUGAUGAAACAUUUCCAUGAUAUUAUUUAUGGAUAAAAUUACCUUUUUUUUUAUCUUAUGUAUAUAUUGAACACAAGACAUAGAUUGUGUCACCGUUGCCUAAUUCAAUAUUGAGCCUAAAGACAUUUAUCUUGUUAUACGUGACAUGAAAAUUAAAUCUAGGUCACUCACGUCCAUUAACAUAUUUUAUGGAGUACCUAUCAACACUAUCUUUAUGGUUAUCGUAUUACGGAUAUCGUUUGAAUGAUAAUGAAGUAUUUGACUCCACAUUCACAGACCAUGGUAAAUUCAGAUUGAAAGGUGGUAUACACCAUUAUCCCAAAGAGAAUAACUUAUGACACUUGCAUAAUAUUUUAUUUAGUAUUCUCAUUGUAAAUAAGUCUUAUAUAAAUAUUACUCAUAAUAUUUAGACAUAUGUGAAAAUUUGAUAACUCUCUAUCUAUGAUCCAUGAGACAUGAUCAUCAAUUUAUCCACAUAAUAAUCUUAAUACUUUAAUGUUAUCCCACUUUACAAUAAACUUGAUUGUAGAUACUUUAAGAAUAAUACCUUUAUGUUUCAUGAUGUCUCAUGAUUAAGUAACACUUAAUAUUUCUUCAAAUCGACUAACUACUCUAAGUACUUUAUUACUUUAAAAAACAAACAUAAUAAACUUAUUAUUAUUAUUAUUAUUAUUAGAGUUGAAUAUGUUUGUAGUCCGCCUAAAUAUCUCAAUCUUCAAUUUAAUCUCUCAAAAAUUUUAUUUAAAGAAUGAUCCUGUUAAUACUUUUCAUCCACGCUUUUGGUCUCUCCUGCUAAAGUUUAUUAAAAGAAACUGACAUGGCAUGUUAUAUGAAAAAAUUUAUGAUUGGCCAAACAUGUGGUAAUGCCAGCGUGGUAAGAUGCUUACAUGGAUGCCACGUGCCUUUUGUCACCCAUUUUAUAAUUUUUAUAUUAAUAAAAUUUCUAGUGAUAUAAUUUUUUUCCGCUAAAUUCGCCGCUAACAUGAGCAUCAUACCAAAACCCAAAAACCGUAGUUAAUAUGUGGCUAAUCCGCAACUAAUCCUUAGCUAAUUCAAAUACAUCAUUCUUAUGACCUAAACUUCAUUUUUUUAAUGAUUUUUGACAUUAAAGUUUAUCAAAUCAUAAGGAUCUCUCUAACAAUUUAUUUUUUGACUUGAGAUGAAUCAAAUAUAAAUUAUUUAACUGUCGAUUUUCCAUGAAACGAAAACAAUGCAAACAUUUGAAUAUGAUUCAACUUUAAAGGAUCUGCAAAGUUUCAUGGUAUUUUAAAUAAGUUUCGAUUUACUUUUAUUUUCCGAUCGAAACACGUAUAAAUGUGUUUUUUUCAAGAGACAAAACAACAUAUUUAACCCUAUCAGUGGUAAAAAGGGUGACAUAAUUUAAUUAUUGUCAUGAUCUUUUUUGCAUGUUAGUGUAUACUAUUACAAGGAUCUCUCUCACAAAAAUUGAAUUUUGUUUGAUGUGAGAGUAAUUAAAUAAGUUUUUUUUUUAAUUGCCGAUUUUUCAUGAAACACAACUAACGCAAACUUUUUCAUAUGAUUGAAUUUUGAGCUAAAAUUUUGUAGAACUUACUACAUAACACAUAAAAAUGAUUUGAAGAUUUUUUGUGGAAUUUUGAUUGAUUUUAGCUUAUUUUGAUUUAUUUUCGCCUCUUGAAAAAACACAUUUAUAUGUGUCUCGAUCGAAUAAUCAAAAUAAAUCGAGAAUUAUUCAUAAUGUAAUGAAACUUUUUAGAUCAUUUUUAUAUAUUUUGAGAUAAGUCCCUGCAAAAGAAUAGUUUAAAAUUCAAUCAUAAUUCAACUUUUACCUUGUUUUCGUUUCAUAGAAAAUCGGUGCUUAAAAAAAUUCAUAUUUGAUUAAUUUCAAAUAAAAUAAAUUAAACUUUUAUGACAAAUGUUUAUAAUGUGAUAAACUUCCAUGCAAAAGAUCAUUAAAAAAAACAAAGUCUAGGUCAAAAGAAUGUUGUAUUUGAGUUAAUUAGAAAUUAGCUACGGAUUAACUACAAAUUAGCUGUAGUUUCUGAAUUUCGGUAUGAUGUUCACGUUAACGACAAAGUUUCUAUCGCAACAAAUUUUAUUAAUAUAAAUAAGAUAAAUUAGUGACAAAAUGCCAUGUGUCAUCCAUGUUAGCAUCUUUGUCACACUGACAUUGUCACGUGUAUGCUUUGAAAUGAAAAGUUUUCAUUGUCAUGCCACACCAGCAUCUGUUAACAAACGUUAGUUAGAGAGACCAAAAGUAUGGAUGAAAAAUAUUAUAAAGACCGUUUUUUGAAAAGAAAAAUUUGAGAGAUUAAAAGUGAAGAUUGAAAUGUUUAGGAGGACUACAAACAUGUUUAAAUCUUAUUAUUAAUAGAUAAUUCGAUAAAAUAUCAAGAUGUAAUAAAAUUAUAAGUCUCUAGAACUUACACCAAUAAAAAACGUCAAAAUCAUUGAUGGAAUAAGCCCUUAAUUAGAAUCAAAUGAACACUACGACAAAACUACUAAGAAAAAAUGCAGCACAAAAUUGUAAUAAAUUAACAAAAUUCCAUACAAAAAUUUAAAUAAUAAUAAUAAUAAUAAUAAUUUAUUUAAAUAAAAACCAAUCAAGAUUAAGGUGUUUUACUGACCCUAAAUUACCUCUCUUUUAUAGAUGACAAAGAAGACAAAACAAAACCUUUUUUUAAAGAGACUAAUAAAUCUAUUUUAUCCUAUUUAUUUAAAUACUUCAUUCCUAUGUUUUAUUUAAAUACUACAUUCAUAUGUUUCUCCGCUCAUAGAUGAUACUUUGUUUGGAUAGAUAAAUAUUUUAAUAUGGAUAAGGAUGAAUGGAUUUGUAAAAAAAUAAAUAAUAGUCUUUGUCAUGAUAUUUGAUGUUCUAUAUAAUUUAUUUGAGGAAAGAUCUAAACAUGCAAGAUGGGGAUUUAAGUUGCGUUUAGUUAAAAAAAAAAAAACUUAACUAAAUCGUUUCUCUAAUGGGAGAGCUACCUCUUGUCUCUCUACAACCCUCGAAUUUCACCUUUAUGCAUAAAGAAUCUAGUCCACUAUAACCAAACAUGAAUGCAAGUAUUCUAUACGCCUCUUCAAGGUCUAUGUAUUCUUUAACUAAACUUAUCAUGGAUUCUUUCAACAAAAUAAUAAUGGUUAACAUGUAUUCUUUCACCAAAAUAAUAAUGGUCAUUUUGUCAACCUUAAUAAUAUUUUAUUUUUAUUCUUGAGUUUUUUUUAUUAAAAUAUUUUUCAUUACGAUUUAUAAUAAUAAUUGUGACAAUAGAUUAAAGAUUAUGAAAUUUGAAUUCCAUCAUCAAUAUUUUUUAUUUAUUUUUUUUAUAUAAAAAAAGCAUGUGUCCCUUGACUUAUAUACUUAUAUUAUUAAAUAAAAAUUAAAAAAUAAUUAAUUACAGUUAUUUUAUCAACUUAUAUGUUUCAUAUUUCACUAUGAUUGAUAUUAACAACUAUGGUGAAAUUCUUUAUUGCAAAAUUAAAAUAUAACAUGUUCUUCAUUUUCUUCAUAACACAUGUCCUAACGAUCCAGACGACAGCGACAACAAAAUCUUCAGCAUCUUCAUUUAUUUGGAACAUCCAGUCUUCACUCUCUUCAUUCAUUAUUGAUUGAUCCCUCGUAAGAAUUCACAUCCUAGAUCCAAAAUAUUUCAAGGAAUGUUAAUUCUUCAAAAGCUUAGAAGAACUCAACCUAUCCACCUUCCUCUGUAUCCCCUCCAAGAAGGUAUGUUCAUCCUUAGUCAAGAUGUUCUACUCAAAUCUUCACAUCAUAGAUGGAAUACCUUAAAUUGAAGUAAAGAAGGCAUAUAAUAACUCUAUCAGUAGAAGAAUUUGGAAAUAUUCUAAAUAUCCAUAAUGAAGAUCCCAUUGUCGAACUCGGAGACAAAGCAGAAAAGUACAACCACCAGCUCACUGCAUCCUCUGUUAUGAAGGAUCCAUCACCCAACAUGCCAAAUCCCUUCACUGCUGGAUAUAUCCACCUUGAAAGUCAUAUGAUUCACUAUGUGAUCAAUCUCAUACUCUUUUCAAGAAAAAGCAACUUCAUCCUCAUAACCCAAGUUGAUGUAGAAACAAUAUCGUUAAUAGAACACAAAAUCAAGGUGAAAUUGGCAAAACACAUGAACGAGUAAAUGAUGGAAAACAUGAAAGAAGGAGUAUAACUGCCAUAUGAAAAUCUGAUCACAAAGAUUUUGAAAGAUACUGGAUAUGAUUUCAAAGAUGAAGAGUUCAAGGAAGAAAGAACUAAAAUAGGAUAAUUAGUCCUACCAUCAAUGAAGUUUGAGAUGAUCAAUGGAAAAGUAAUUGAAAAUCCCCUCUCAAACAAGAAGAAAAUAAAAGCAAAUAGUCAAGAAGCACCCAUAGAGUUAGAUGACUUCGACUACUCUAUUCCUCAACUGCCCAUAAUAAUAAUAUCCUCAAAUUCAUAAUUGGAAAGAUAAUUGUGAUUAAUGACAAAAUUGACUUUCAUAACCCAACCAUUUAUCCCAGACCAAGCACAACUACCUAAAGGCCUUUUUCUUUGAUGAUUUUAACACAUAAUAGUCUCACUUAUGCGUUUGAACUCAUGCUCUCUAUAACUCUUAAAUUCAACAAUUUCUUUUCUUGUACUCUGAAUUCAUAGUAAUUUCUAUUAACAAAACAAGUUUUUCCUUUACUAAAUGUUUAUUUACCUAUGUUUUUAUAUUUAAAUUCAUCUUAGUGUAUAUUUAUCUGUCUUUUUUAUUUCUACAAAGGGGAAGAAGUGUACUCUCAGGGGGAGUAGAGUAUACUCUUUACCUAAUUGAGGGGGAGUUUGAUUACUCCAAAUAUUUAUUGUUGUUUAUAUUACACUACGCCAAAAACUGGAAUAGACAGCGCACCUUAGAGGGCGCUUUAUUACAAAAGCGCACUCUAAAGUGAAGCGAAAAAAUAAGGAGCGAACAAUUGGAAUAGACAGCGCACUUUAGAGGCGCUUUUUGUAAUCAAAGCGCCUCUCAGAGAGUGAAGCGAAAAAAAAUAAGAGAGGCAGAUAGAGGGAAACCAAUACAAGGCGCUUUUUAAAACGCCUCUAAGGUUACCCUUAGAGGGCGCGUUGUUGAAAAAGCGCUCUACUACAGUCCAUGUUGCAUUUCCAGUUUAAUAAAGCGCACUUAUUCGAAAGCCUUAGAGAGCGCUUUCAUAACGCGCCCCUUAGGCCCCUUAUUAGAGGCCUUUUUUUUCCACAAGCUCACUCUAAGGUCCCUUUAGUAAAACAUAAAAUAUAACAUUACUGCCGCCUCUGUUGUUACAUUCACACUCUCUGUUAUUUUCGUGUAAUAUCCUUUUCAACGUUAGCGUCUUUCAACUGCUACUAUAUUCGCUACUUUCUAAGGCGUUCUCCUUCCAGAAUAAGAAAUAAAGUUCCUCUGUUAGAUUCUACCGACGUUUCCUCCCUUCUUUUAAUCGUUGUUAGCUGUUCGUCUUUGACACAUAAAGGUUUUUCCUGUUCUUUCGGAUUUAGACGCUAUUUUCGAGUGAUGUAGCAAUUUUGGAUCCGGGUGUUGUUCAGGUUCGCCCGAAAGGAAACUCAAUUUGUAACGUUCCAGAAAUUAUAGACAUACUGGAAAAAUUUAUGUCAUUUAGGUUCUUGCUCGAUUUUAACUUGUGGUAGAGACAAUCUGGUCGCACUUUUACUUAUUGUGAGUCUGGCUUUUUUCGAUUAAUUUUGCAUUCACUUACUAUUUGUUGGGGGUAAUAAGAAUUAAUCCCUACUCCUUGCGGUUUUCUUCAUCUGGCAAUGGCUUUGGUCUUUUUGGUUGUUUCGAUAUCAUUUCUACUUGAAGGUAAUAAUAAUUUUUUGUUUGUUAUAUUUUUUGAACAUUUUUUUUUGUUUAUUUUUAUAUAUACAUAAAUCAUUAACUAGAUAUUACACAUGCAUUCAGCAUAAAUGUUCAGAACCAAUUUUUGUAACACAGAUUCACAGGAUUAUAUUAAUCAGUAAAUUCUUCUUUAUAUUUUGGUUUUUAUAUGGAUAAUAUAUUUAUGUUGACUUGCUCCAGGAUAUAUAUCACCCCAGAUUCUGAUGUUAUAUGCGACAUUGAGCCUCGUUCCGGUGCUGCGAAGCUUUGUGUUGUAAACAUACUAACUUUAAUUACACAAAUGGAUCGUUCUAUUGUUUGUUUCCCUAUAUUCAUUAUUAUAAAACUUUCAAUUCUUUCAGGUCAGGUUAUGCAUUCUCUCUGGGAUUAGGAGCAAUGCCAUGGAUAUAAAGUCUGAGGUACAAUUUUCUUCAAAUAAAAUAUGCAUCGACAACGCCUAAUGAACAAAACCUUGUGUAAUAUAAUGUGAUAGUUGAUGUGUUAAUAUAAUUUUACAUAUAUAGAUUCUUCCGAUUAACAUCAAAGGCCUAGCUGGAAGUUUGCAAACACUUGCCAAUGGUUCUUAUUCCUGGCUUGGUUACAUUAACACGCAAAUUUGCUCUUGGAUUGGACUUCGGGAGGUUUGUGUGCAUUGCCUAUGUUAAUUUUCUAUAAAUAUCAUUGUUUCUAACCAGAAGCUUCCUAUGUUUCAUCAGGAACCUUCACGAUAUAUACUAUCAGUGUGUGUUUUCACAGCAGGAUUUGUUGCCAUUUGGGUCCCCGAGACAAAGGGAAAAAACUCUUGAAGAAAUACAACAGUUUUUCAGAUGAAGUUUCCUUUCGAGUAGCACUCAGCUAGUGUUCACUCAUGUAUCUCACAUUCAUAUUUUUUCUGAAUCAAACUCAAUUCAUUUUUGUGCUCUUUGGUCUUGUUAAACAUAUGAAAAAUACCAAACAGUGUGAUUUUCUAAUCUAGCAGCAUACUUGCAUUUUGUUGUUGAAUUGAUUGAUUAUAAACAAAUAAAUGAAAGAGAAGUGGUUAUUAUACAUUUCAAUUACGAGUAGCAGUGGUUUCGGUUCAUGACAUUUCAAAUAGCAAGAGGAUCAUAUAAUACAAUAAGCAUUAUCAGUAUUUGUAUUUUAAUAUUAUAAAAGCAUAAAAAGAACCUUUAGUUUGCACUUUAUAUACACCAGCAUGUAUGCCAUUUGUGCACGGCUCUCUGUGUGCUGCAACAAAACCUGAAGUGAAUAUGGCACAGAGACAUGUGAAUGCAUGUAAAUUUAAUAAUCCACCCCAACUUUAGAGGGCGCUUCCAAAUAAGCGCCCUCUAACCCUUUAAAUUUCCACUUUAGAGGGCGCUUUCCAGUAAAAGCGCCCUAAACCCUUAAAGGUUUCCACUUUAGAGGGCGCUUUCCAGUAAAGUGCCCUCUAAGCUUAAAGUUCCACUUUAGAGGCGGCUUUCUUUAAAAAGCGCCCUCUAAAGUGGCCCUUAAAGGGCUUAAAGAGCCCACCUUUAGAGACGCUUUCCAGACCAAAGAAAAAAAGCGCUGUCUUUACCUAUGCCAGCGCCAGAUUAGAGGGCGCUUUAAAGCGCUGUUAUAGGCCAAAAAAAGCGCCCUCUUUUCCCUUAUUUGGCGUAGUGUUACCACAUCUAUGAGAGAUGAGUUGUCAUCAUAAAAAGGGGAAUAAAGCAAAACCUUAUUUUGCAAUUCAUAGAGCACGAUUUUGAUGAUGACAACUAUUAAAGAUGUUCAUGUCUUGGAUAGUGAUAACAACUAAAGUCAAGCAUAAAGCAGUUAAACGGUUAAAAAUGCAAACCAGGAUAUUUGGGUUUGAUGAGACUUGACUAUCUGAUGAUGGCAACCAAAAGAUAUAUAUUUCGAACCUCAUAUUGAAGUGAACUCAAGCAAGUAUCUACAAGAAAGAAAGCAUUUGACAAUUCUUGUAGUACAAAAAAUACCUGUCUCGAUUGUCUGAGUUAAUACUUUGUAAAGCAUGAAAGAAUUCUUGUAAAAUUGUAUGGAUAAAUCACACACACACGAAAAUAUUUUUGAAACUAGAACUGUUUUUCAAAAAUAUCUUGAAUUUGUGCCAAAUUAGUUAUAAGUUAUUUGAAAAGCUAUGAAGGAUUUUUUGUCUUUGCAAAUUGAUUGGCACAUUGACCCAAUCGAUUGGGUCAGUUCAAAAAUGUGCCCUAAACAAUUACGGCAACAUCUUAAUGAGUUGUAACGGAUAAACAUAUUUUAUUUACAUUUUUAACUUGGUAAUUGAUUAAUUUGGAGGCUACCAAUCGAUUGGUAUAUGCUACCAAUCAGUUGGCAAGUCAUAAAUUGGCCUUAAAAUAACUUCCUUUUUGAGCCAACCUAUAGUCAAUAGAUAGAGGUACCUUUACCAUAUUCCAAAUCAUCUAGAAACGUGUUUCAUUUCACAAUUCUCACUUUCUCUAUAAACGUUUCUUUUGUUUACUUUCCCUCACUAAGAAUUUAGCCGAAGUGUUUUUCGAGAAAGUCUUUUUGCGAGUGAGGAAGUUGUAAUUCUGGAAGGAUACAAUUUUAAGUUCACCAAGGAACUUUUUUUUAUACCUUGGUUGAAAAUUUUAUCCUAUUAUGGAUUAUUUUUUUAGGCUCGAAGCUAAACCCGUAAAAAGAUUAGGUUUGGGAUUUGUGUGAUCAAGUCUCUUGCUUAUCUUCUAGAUCAACCCGGUGACAUAAUCUCAUAUAUUUUUGGUUAGACCGUGAUAAAACCAAGAUUAGGUUAAAACAUAGUCCUAUAUUAAAAUCUUGUUUCGGUUUGAGAUCAACUCGAUGGUAAAAUCUCAUAGGUUAUUUGUUAGCCCAUUAUAAAGUCAAUGUUUAGGUUCGAGAGCUCAUCUUGGUGUUAAAAGCUCCUAAAGUUUAUUUGAAGCUUGAAGACUAAGCACUCCAAGAUUCUUAUGGAAAGGAGACUAACCACUUAGAUCCUCUGUUUGGAAGGAAGACUCACCGCUUCGCUUCAUAGUUUGUUGUUUGGUUGGAAGUUAGCCAUAAACUUCUUUUUUCCUUGUAUAAGGGGGUUCGAGAGUUUAAACUACUAAAACUCUUAAGUUUAUUGGAUAAUCUCAAGAAUAAUUCUUGGGGAGAGGAUUAGGUAUUUUUCUCUUUUGACGGAACCUCUAUAAUUUCCAGUGUCUUCUCUUUUCCCUUAACUCUUUAAUGUACACACUUUAGUUUCUGAAAGUUUAUUUUUUCCACUACAUAACUUUAGAGUUUUUCUAAAAAUAUUUUCUAACUCGGAUUUUAAUUCUAAUUUUUUUCAAAACUAUGUUUUUUUGAAACAAAUCAUUCACCCCCUCUUGUGUACGAAGUCACAUGUCCAACACAACUGACACAAGACACGCCGAAAGGCAUCCUUUUUAAGAGGAUCCUCAUAAAAAACUUCCUCUAGUUGAGCAUCUAACGUAACCUGUUUCUCCUGAAGAUUUUAUACUCCUUUCACAAGACUUUCCUCUCAUUCUGCCAACGCUUUUAUUGUACACUGAAGAACAACAAAUUCAAUCUCCGCCUCGAGCUUACUCUGAUAGACGUCAUCCUCCAUCUUCUUAAGUUGGUUCUUGAGGUCAUUCAUUUGCCUAACUAAUUUAGUCGGAGAUCCAUGAAGAUGAUCUUUUUCAGAAAGGAGGGAUGACCGCCCUAGACGACCCUACUUCUCUAGAGAAUCCUUUUAAUCCCAACCUUCUUUACCUCACUAGGGUUAUAACGAGUCCUCAAUGAUGUAACCUCCCGGGAUAAAAAAACAGAUGCAAAAAAUGUUUCAAGACCGACAACUAACUGAUUAAAGAGUGGUACCGUUCUCAUCACAUUGGUGGCUAUCUUCUUUACCAGGUCAAACCUACCAGAAGGGGGGAGUGGACUAACGUAGGCGUAAUCCCUUGCAGGCACAAAAUUGUUUAUCCCGUCUAUUGAUUGAAGAAAAUGACUAUCCAACAUUGAAGGUAGUCGAAGAGAAGCAUUUCCUUCCCUUUUAAUAUGAUCAACUACAGGAGCAACUUUCACUCCCCUCGACCUCUUUACUCGAUCUUGGCCAGCGACAAAUGAAUUGGUCAUGUCAUGCUUCUUCUUAGAUUGACAUUCCGAAUGAGGCAAAAAAAACAGAGGGACCCCGAGUUCCAGUAUAAUUAUGUUCCCAAUAACAUGACCUUUCUUGAACCUAUAUGAAAAAGUAAGAAAGAUCAACGAAUGAGAACUAAAUAAGUCCAUGUAUCCACGAAGAAAAAAGAUAUAAAAUGAAUUACCAAACACUCCUUUCCGUCCUUCCACAAAACUAGCUUUUUCCACUUUCAUACAGUGUAACAUCUCAUUAGAAAACAAGAGCAAAAUCGCUUUCAUAUCCCCCAUCAACCUGGUUUAGAGCUUCAAAGGAACCUAGUAAUAUUUAGGACCUUUAGAGAAAUGGUCAGGUUACCAGAAUCGUCACCUUCGGUCUGUGUAUUUAACUUGUCCAAUAGAAGGGGGAGAGACAACACAAAAUUCCUCGUGAGAAAGAGGAUAAAGGAAGUAAUCGUUCUUGAAAUACUUCCAUCUGUCGAUGUAGAUCUUGAAGAUCCAAUUCUUAAUAGAACAUAGAGAAACAAGCCCAUGACCAAUGACAUCCUUUGGGACAUGAUUUACCUCAAAGAGAUGCAAAAUAGGUCUCGAGAAGCUGGAGCCAUUUUCUAUGGUAUUCAUACAAAUACUAGAAUACUCUAACAAAACUCCAAGCACAUGGAUGAAGUUACGAAUGGUGAAUGCAUAGAUGGUCCAGAAAAUGAAGGAUUAAAAGGGGAUAACGCACCCUUCAAACUUGUGGCAUAUCCUUUUCUCAGAUGAAAUUGAAAAAAUAUCCCAAUCGGAGGAAACCCCUAUUUCCAAAAAAGCAGGGCAUAUUUCUUCCCCUUGAACGAAAAUAGAUUCGUAGGCUAAAUAGGUUGACUCGACCCAAGAGUAAUCUUCUACCGCUAUCACUUCCAUCAAAUUGGUUAGGUAAGCAAAUAUCUAAGUUUACAAAAUGAAACAGGUUAAUACGAUGAUGAUGGACGAAUAGGUAACGACAACAGAAAAGAGGAAAACUUGAGAACAAUGUCUAGCUUUUGUAAGAAGGGAUAAUACAAGGAUUGAUAGUUCAGAUUGAACAACAGGAGAAAAUAUGAGGGUAAUCAAUAUAUUGUCCCAUGAAUCCAAACGAUGACAAAAAAAACUUAAGUACCCUUUGUAGGGCAAUCGAUCCCUAACCUACACGCGUAGGGCGACGUGUUGGCAAGAAGAAGUGAAAAUGGCCCAUUGAUAAGAAAGCAUUAAAUGCGCUUGUCCCGUACUAUUUAUGCGACAAACUCUAAAUGUUUCAAUUUUGGAACAACAAAUAUGAAUUCUCAGAAAACCGACUCCAGUCACUAAAGACUCCUCAGUAUCCAAGGUACCCGGUAAGUCUUGGGGGCAACUGUUCUGCACCGGCCAAAAGACCCAUAAUAGCAAAGUCCGUAUUGGUUCACGCUGCUCAACCCAAGGUAUAAAUACCCUUCCACACCAAUUUCAAUUGCAUUCUCUAAUUUCUAGUAUUCACUACACUCAUCUUUAAUCUUAAACUGACUUCGAUGUUAGAAUGCUAUUCACCCCGCACCAUCGUAAAAGAGAUCAAUACCAUAGUUUAAGACCACCAAUUCUUCAACUAUAUUCAUUUCAGAUUCAUGAAGUGAACAACUAUAAUUAGAACUAAAAAGAUUAAAAUCAUUCCGCCCAAAAAUGAUCAUUACCAAUAAUUCUAAAUCCUAAGUGUUAAGUCCUAAUUCUACCUUUAUAAAUAUUUUAAUCAAUCCAAAAUUCUUCCACCCAAAUUAAUCAUUAUCUUAGAUGAUUAACAAAUUUAGCAAAUUUGAUAUGUAAACGGUCCUCAACAGAACCAUACUUUUAAUUAUCCAAAUUCACUCUUAGACUAAGAUUUCUUUUCUGUUUUUUUUUUCUAUCAUCUCCUAUUUGACUUUGUUUUUUAAUGAACAAGAAGAAAUAAAAUUAAUUAUUGGGUCUCCAAUGUUUAACCAAUUUCAAAUUUGCGUACCUAGACAUGUUUUUUUCUUCUUCUUAUGAAAUGGUUUGGGAUCACGUCACAUCUAGUAGUUUAGUGUUACGAUCAUGGAGUCCCAAAUCA
Molecule: long non-coding RNA, 24953 nt
Filed under: Lathyrus oleraceus (garden pea)
Lineage: Eukaryota; Viridiplantae; Streptophyta; Magnoliopsida; Fabales; Fabaceae
Description: Pisum sativum (pea) long non-coding RNA (PSAT_LNC032235)
Source: RNAcentral